CCCGCUCGCCGGAAGACCAAGGGUUCCUGUCCAACGUUAAUCGGGGCAGGGUGAGUCGACCCCUAAGGCGAGGCCGAAAGGCGUAGUCGAUGGGAAACAGGUUAAUAUUCCUGUACUUGGUGUUACUGCGAAGGGGGGACGGAGAAGGCUAUGUUGGCCGGGCGACGGUUGUCCCGGUUUAAGCGUGUAGGCUGGUUUUCCAGGCAAAUCCGGAAAAUCAAGGCUGAGGCGUGAUGACGAGGCACUACGGUGCUGAAGCAACAAAUGCCCUGCUUCCAGGAAAAGCCUCUAAGCAUCAGGUAACAUCAAAUCGUACCCCAAACCGACACAGGUGGUCAGGUAGAGAAUACCAAGGCGCUUGAGAGAACUCGGGUGAAGGAACUAGGCAAAAUGGUGCCGUAACUUCGGGAGAAGGCACGCUGAUAUGUAGGUGAAGCGACUUGCUCGUGGAGCUGAAAUCAGUCGAAGAUACCAGCUGGCUGCAACUGUUUAUUAAAAACACAGCACUGUGCAAACACGAAAGUGGACGUAUACGGUGUGACGCCUGCCCGGUGCCGGAAGGUUAAUUGAUGGGGUCAGCGCAAGCGAAGCUCUUGAUCGAAGCCCCGGUAAACGGCGGCCGUAACUAUAACGGUCCUAAGGUAGCGAAAUUCCUUGUCGGGUAAGUUCCGACCUGCACGAAUGGCGUAAUGAUGGCCAGGCUGUCUCCACCCGAGACUCAGUGAAAUUGAACUCGCUGUGAAGAUGCAGUGUACCCGCGGCAAGACGGAAAGACCCCGUGAACCUUUACUAUAGCUUGACACUGAACAUUGAGCCUUGAUGUGUAGGAUAGGUGGGAGGCUUUGAAGUGUGGACGCCAGUCUGCAUGGAGCCGACCUUGAAAUACCACCCUUUAAUGUUUGAUGUUCUAACGUUGACCCGUAAUCCGGGUUGCGGACAGUGUCUGGUGGGUAGUUUGACUGGGGCGGUCUCCUCCUAAAGAGUAACGGAGGAGCACGAAGGUUGGCUAAUCCUGGUCGGACAUCAGGAGGUUAGUGCAAUGGCAUAAGCCAGCUUGACUGCGAGCGUGACGGCGCGAGCAGGUGCGAAAGCAGGUCAUAGUGAUCCGGUGGUUCUGAAUGGAAGGGCCAUCGCUCAACGGAUAAAAGGUACUCCGGGGAUAACAGGCUGAUACCGCCCAAGAGUUCAUAUCGACGGCGGUGUUUGGCACCUCGAUGUCGGCUCAUCACAUCCUGGGGCUGAAGUAGGUCCCAAGGGUAUGGCUGUUCGCCAUUUAAAGUGGUACGCGAGCUGGGUUUAGAACGUCGUGAGACAGUUCGGUCCCUAUCUGCCGUGGGCGCUGGAGAACUGAGGGGGGCUGCUCCUAGUACGAGAGGACCGGAGUGGACGCAUCACUGGUGUUCGGGUUGUCAUGCCAAUGGCACUGCCCGGUAGCUAAAUGCGGAAGAGAUAAGUGCUGAAAGCAUCUAAGCACGAAACUUGCCCCGAGAUGAGUUCUCCCUGACUCCUUGAGAGUCCUGAAGGAACGUUGAAGACGACGACGUUGAUAGGCCGGGUGUGUAAGCGCAGCGAUGCGUUGAGCUAACCGGUACUAAUGAACCGUGAGGCUUAACCUU
RNAcentral lists this ribosomal RNA (1616 nucleotides) under Escherichia coli DEC11A. Its description in RNAcentral is "bacterial LSU rRNA". It matches the Rfam family "Bacterial large subunit ribosomal RNA", at positions 1329 to 2925 of the family's 2925-position model. The record is from RNAcentral. Lineage: Bacteria; Pseudomonadati; Pseudomonadota; Gammaproteobacteria; Enterobacterales; Enterobacteriaceae.